This 449-nucleotide ribosomal RNA is filed under the name uncultured bacterium. Its description in RNAcentral is "bacterial SSU rRNA". It matches the Rfam family "Bacterial small subunit ribosomal RNA", at positions 330 to 793 of the family's 1533-position model. The record is from RNAcentral.
GCCAGACUCCUACGGGAGGCAGCAGUGGGGGAUAUUGCACAAUGGGGGGGAACCCUGAUGCAGCGACGCCGCGUGGGUGAAGAAGCGCCUCGGCGCGUAAAGCCCUGUCAGCAGGGAAGAAAAUGACGGUACCUGACUAAGAAGCCCCGGCCAACUACGUGCCAGCAGCCGCGGUAAUACGUAGGGGGCAAGCGUUAUCCGGAUUUACUGGGUGUAAAGGGAGCGUAGACGGCGAUGCAAGCCAGAUGUGAAAGCCCGGGGCUCAACCCCGGGACUGCAUUUGGACCUGUGUAGCUGGAGUGUCGGAGAGGCAGGCGGAAUUCCUAGUGUAGCGGUGAAAUGCGUAGAUAUUAGGAGGAACACCGGCGGCGAAGGCGGCCUGCUGGACCGUAACUGACGUUGAGGCUCGAAAGCGUGGGGAGCAAACAGGAUUAGAUACCCCAGUAUCG